GUCGAGAAUCUUUCACAAUGGGGGCAACCCUGAUGGAGCGACGCCGCGUGGAGGAUAAGGUCUUCGGAUUGUAAACUCCUGUCAUGCGUGAACAAGGUUGCUUGGUUAAUACCUGGGCAAAUUGAUGGUAACGCAUGAGGAAGAGACGGCUAACUCUGUGCCAGCAGCCGCGGUAAUACAGAGGUCUCAAGCGUUGUUCGGAAUCACUGGGCGUAAAGGGUGCGUAGGUGGCGUGGUAAGUCAGAUGUGAAAGCCCGGGGCUCAACCUCGAACCUGCAUCCGGUACUGCCAUGCUAGAGUACUGGAGAGGGGACUAGAAUUCUCGGUGUAGCAGUGAAAUGCGUAGAUAUCGAGGGGAAUACCAAAGGCGUAGGCAGGUCACUGGACAGUUACCGACACUGAGGCACGAAGGCCAGGGGAGCGAACGGGAUUAGAAACCCUGGUAGUCC
Molecule: ribosomal RNA, 449 nt
Filed under: uncultured bacterium
Lineage: Bacteria
Description: partial 16S ribosomal RNA
Rfam family: Bacterial small subunit ribosomal RNA
Source: RNAcentral